GGGCGUAAGGGCUCGCAGGCGGUUUCUUAAGUCUGAUGUGAAAGCCCCCGCGCUCAACCGGGGAGGGUCAUUGGAAACUGGGAAACUUGAGUGCACAAGAGGAGAGUGGAAUUCCACGUGUAGCGGUGAAAUGCGUAGAGAUGUGGAGGAACACCAGUGGCGAAGGCGACUCUCUGGUCUGUAACUGACGCUGAGGAGCGAAAGCGUGGGGAGCGAACAGGAUUAGAUACCCUGGUAGUCCACGCCGUAAACGAUGAGUGCUAAGUGUUAGGGGGUUUCCGCCCCUUAGUGCUGCAGCUAACGCAUUAAGCACUCCGCCUGGGGAGUACGGUCGCAAGACUGAAACUCAAAGGAAUUGACGGGGGCCCGCACAAGCGGUGGAGCAUGUGGUUUAAUUCGAAGCAACGCGAAGAACCUUACCAGGUCUUGACAUCCUCUGACAACCCUAGAGAUAGGGCUUUCCCUUCGGGGACAGAGUGACAGGUGGUGCAUGGUUGUCGUCAGCUCGUGUCGUGAGAUGUUGGGUUAAGUCCCGCAACGAGCGCAACCCUUGAUCUUAGUUGCCAGCAUUUAGUUGGGCACUCUAAGGUGACUGCCGGUGACAAACCGGAGGAAGGUGGGGAUGACGUCAAAUCAUCAUGCCCCUUAUGACCUGGGCUACACACGUGCUACAAUGGACAGAACAAAGGGCUGCAAGACCGCAAGGUUUAGCCAAUCCCAUAAAUCUGUUCUCAGUUCGGAUCGC
Molecule: ribosomal RNA, 745 nt
Filed under: Bacillus pumilus
Lineage: Bacteria; Bacillati; Bacillota; Bacilli; Caryophanales; Bacillaceae
Description: bacterial SSU rRNA
Rfam family: Bacterial small subunit ribosomal RNA
Source: RNAcentral